UAUAAGGAUGUGGGUUUGAGGGAAAAGGAGUUGUAGGAGGAAACUCAUUCCUCUUUGCGAUGCAACUGUCUCUGUUUGAGAGUGCGACGACAACGUCGUUCUCUUCACGACAGUGGAGUUGCGACUUCUUCACAGGUUUCAAAGAGGGUUUCCUUCCACGUCCCUUGAUCUUAAGUGCUGCUGUGAAGAAGAAGAGUUCUAAGUAAGGGAAGCUAGAC
RNAcentral lists this small RNA (218 nucleotides) under Vigna angularis var. angularis. Its description in RNAcentral is "Non-protein coding transcript". Lineage: Eukaryota; Viridiplantae; Streptophyta; Magnoliopsida; Fabales; Fabaceae. The record is from RNAcentral.